UACGGUAGGGUGCGAGCGUUGUCCGGAUUUAUUGGGCGUAAAGGAGCUCGUAGGCGGUUUGUCGCGUCGGCCGUGAAAUCCCUCGGCUUAACCGGGGAACUGCGUCCGAUACUGGAGGGCUUGAGUGUGGGAGAGGGAUGCGGAAUUCCAGGUGUAGCGGUGAAAUGCGCAGAUAUCAGGAGGAACACCAAUUGCGAAGGCAGCUCGCUGGGACGUUACUGACGCUGAGACGCGAAAGCGUGGGGAGCAAACAGG
Molecule: ribosomal RNA, 255 nt
Filed under: uncultured bacterium
Lineage: Bacteria
Description: partial 16S ribosomal RNA
Rfam family: Bacterial small subunit ribosomal RNA
Source: RNAcentral